This 253-nucleotide ribosomal RNA is filed under the name uncultured bacterium. RNAcentral's name for it is "partial 16S ribosomal RNA". It matches the Rfam family "Bacterial small subunit ribosomal RNA", at positions 524 to 776 of the family's 1533-position model. The record is from RNAcentral.
UACGUAGGAGGCGAGCGUUAUCCGGAUUCACUGGGCGUAAAGCGUGUGCAGGCGGUUUGGUUAGUUGGAUGUGAAAGCUCCUGGCUCAACUGGGAGAGGUCGUUCAAUACUGCCAGACUAGAGGACGGUAGAGGAGAGUGGAAUUCCCGGUGUAGUGGUGAAAUGCGUAGAGAUCCGGAAGAACACCGGUGGCGAAGGCGGCCCGCUGGGCUGUGGCUGACGCUGAGGCGCGACAGCGUGGGGAGCAAACAGG